UGCCACCUACAUUUUUGAAGAACUCAAGAACAUAAGAGAGAGGGUGGCCGGCGCGGCGGUGCCACUCGUUUUCCGACGCCUGGACUGCUUCAGUCUUAUAAUCGGAGAUGGGAGAAUCCGAUGGUGAUGCCGAUUUAGCCAACAGGUCAGCGGUGGCGGUGACGAGUUGAAGAUUCAAAGUUCCGGUGAAGUUCGGCUGGUCUCUGACGGUAGUGUUAUAUUUCAUCAAGCUUCUGCCUGUGUAUUUGUUUGGUUCGCUACUCUUUUUGUUUUUUCGUUUAUACACGAAGGAUCUGAUGUUUCCAUCUGGAUCUUUAAUUUUUUUUCUCAUAUAAGAUUUGAAUGUUUCAUGAGAUUUGAUACAACACUUAGCUUGGGAUUUCUUUUUAGACUCUUUUUUAGUAUCUGAUGUUUAUGCUAAGGGGGUGGGUGAAUUUUGGUUAUGAUUUGAAAAGAACUAUCAUGUGUAUGGCUAAUAUAAGGGCUGUGUAGAACUAUUGACCUUGAUACUUUGCUUCACAACUAACAGUAGAGAAUGAUACAAGUUUUCAAGCGGUGGUGGCAUGGUGGUGGUGGUUGGAUGUUCUUUAUUAUUUAUACAAUUUGAAAAUGAUUAUGAAUUGCUACAACUUACUCUGUGUUAUCUUGUUAGAAUUAGUUUUAUGGAUUCACUAAACAACAUUUGAACUUGAGGUGAUGGUGGUUGGAACCUUGGUUUUAAAAUGAGCGCAUGUAGCUUGUUUCUAACAUCUAAGCCUGAAUAAUUUGAUGUCAUGGUCAGUAAUUCUUCACCAAUCACUAUAUUGUUUUUUUUAACUCUCGUGCUAUAUGAAUCUAUUUGGGUUGUGUGUUUUUUUUUAAACUGUCAAACAGGCUAAACAGGCUGAAAGCUGUUCAAAGUUUUUUUUAAUGCUCACACACAACCUUCUAAUAAGUUUGUUCAAAUAUUUGGACUAUUACUGUCAUGAAAUUGUUUUUUUCUAACUUGUGUGCUAUAUCUAUCUAUAACUGAAUCGGUUUGGGCUAUGUGUUUUAUCACAAACGGGUUAAAUCGAAAGUUUUAAAUGGGUCAAAUAGGCUGAAACUGUCCAAAGUUUUUUUUUUGAUGCACUCAACCUCCUAGCAGUUUUGUUGAAACAUUUAGAUUAUUUCUUAAUAUUGUUUUUGCAUUUGUGACUCCUAAUCUUUAUGGAAACCUGAUGGCAAAUAUUGUUGCUGGUAUUGCUGGGGGCACUAGUGUCAUGCCUGGAGGUAAUGUCAGGGCUGCUAAUGCAUAAUUCGAGCAAGGUGCAUCAAUUGAAAAUGUUGGAAAACAAAAAUUUGCAGAGAGAAAGAUUGCUAAUCUAGUUGCAUUGUCAUCAGCCACACGAAAGAGUUUAUCGACUCUAUACAACAUGAUUUGGUUAACCGAGUGACUUUUCGUAAAUAUUCAUAAACUUUGUUUAUUGCAUUAAAUUACAUAUAUUUGAAAUCUAACUUUUGUUUUUAUUUGGUUUUAGUUUUGGAACGAAGAAGGCUAUUUUGAAGAAUCUCAAAUUGAGAAUUUAGUGGUAGAUUUAAUGUUGGGAUUUAUUAAAAAGAUGUUUUGAUCUUGUAAGCAUUAGUUUGUGUUUCAUACUUUUGUAAUUCAGUAUACUUGAAUAGGUUGUUGGGUUAUUUAAUACUAGUUAACUUUUGUCGUGAGUAUGUGCAGUUGUGUGUAAUUGGAAUUAUAUUGGGAAAUAUUACU
RNAcentral lists this long non-coding RNA (1729 nucleotides) under Helianthus annuus (common sunflower). RNAcentral describes it as "hypothetical non coding rna". The record is from RNAcentral. Lineage: Eukaryota; Viridiplantae; Streptophyta; Magnoliopsida; Asterales; Asteraceae.